UGCGCCCACACUGGAUGAGUCGGAGGCCGUCUCACGUGUACUGUGUUGACUGUCAAUGUCUCUGGGAGCCCAAUUCCCGGAAGCUGUGAGUUCUGAGAGAAGUUCCUGGGCUCGGUGCCCUGAGUCUGCGAAUCCCCACCAUGAGCACCCCAGGCGUGCUGACCUUCACCCAGCAAGCCUGGGAGCAGGUCCUGGCCAAAGUGAAACGGGCCGUGGUCUACCUGGACGCCGCCUGCGCCGAGAGCCUGCACUGGGGCUGCGGGUCCUCACGGCUGCUGGAGGCGGUGGGGAACUCUGCGUGUUACCUGCGGGAGUUCGAGCCCGCCGCAGUUGGUGGCGGAGCCGAGCAGCCCAAAGCGGUGUUUGUGUUGAGUUGCCUGCUGAAAGGCCGGACCGUGGAGACCCUACGGGACAUCAUCUGCCGCAGUCACUUCCAGUAUUGUGUGGUGGUCACGGCUGUGAAUCACGCAGUCCACCUCACGGCUAAUCACGUGCCGCCGGCGGCGGCGGCUGAGCUGGAAGGGCAGCAGCCAGUGUUCGAGCAACUGGAGGAGAAGCUGUGUGAGUGGAUGGGCAACAUGAACUACACGGCUGAGGUGCUGCAUGUCCCGUUGUUACUCGCAUGUGCUGCUCCCCACCUUGCCUUGACUCCAGCUUUUGCUUCCCUUUUCCCACUAUUACCCCAGGAUGUGCAUAUCCUCAACCGUGCCCGAUCGGACAAGAGGAGGCUGGGAAACCUGGCUGAGGUGGAUGCCACUACCCUAACCCCUGAGCUGCUGCUGACGAUUAGGUGCCUGGUGUCCGGCCUCAGUUCCCUGUGUGAGCAUUUAGGGGUACGGGAGGAGUGUUUUGCUGUAGGUUCCCUCAGUCGGAUCAUCGCUGCAGAUCUGGCCAAUUUUGCUCCCGCCAAGAACAGGAGGAAGACCGCCACAGGCAGGGCAUCAGUGGUCUUUGUGGACAGAACUCUGGAUCUCACAGGGGCUGUUGGACAUCAUGGAGACAACUUGGUGGAGAAGAUCCUUUCAGUGCUUCCCCAGCUUCCGGGCCACACCAAUGAUGUGAUGGUUAACAUGGUGGAACUCACUGCACUCCAGGCCGAGGAGGAGAAUCAGAAUAUGGUUGCACCCGGCUGUCUCGCACAGUCCAACGACCCCGCAGCCAAAGCCCUGUGGGAAGCCUUAUUGAACACCAAGCACAAAGAGGCAGUGAUGGAAGUCCGGAGACAUCUAGUGGAAGCAGCAAGCAGAGAAAACCUGCCAAUCAAGAUGAGUAUGGGGAGAGUCACUCCGGGACAGCUCAUGUCCUAUAUUCAUCUCUUCAAGAACAACCUCAAAGCUCUAGGGAAUCACUGUGGGCUCCUACAGCUUGGGCUGGCCACUGUUCAAACUCUGAAACACCCGCAGACUGCCAAGUGGGACAACUUUCUGGCUUUUGAAAGACUCCUUCUCCAGAGCAUUGGGGAGUCGACAAUGUCUGUUGUGUUAAAUCAGCUGCUUCCCAUGAUUAAGCCUUCGAACCAGAGGACUAAUGAUGACUACAGCCCCGAAGAGCUGCUGGUCCUCCUGAUAUAUAUUUAUUCUGUCAGUGGAGAGUUCUCAGUGGACAAAGACCUGGGUGAAGGUGAAGAAAAAGUGAAGAAAGCGUUGGCUCAAGUCUUUUGUGAGGAGUCUGAAUUGUCACCUUUGCUGCAAAAAAUCACAGGCUGUGACUCUUCAAUUAACCUGACAUUUCGCAAGUCCAGAAGUGCCGUGGAUGAACUCUUUACUUCGCUUCGGGAUAUUGCUGGAGCUCGGAAUCUCAUGAAACAGUUUAAGUCUGUAUAUGUUCCUGGAAAUCAUACCCACCAGGCAUCCUAUAAGCCGUUGUUGAAGCAGGUUGUGGAGGAAAUAUUUAAUCCCGAGAGGCCAGAUCCCGUUGACAUUGAACACAUGUCUUCAGGCCUCACCGAUCUCCUUAAAACUGGAUUUAGCAUGUUCAUGAAGGUGAGCCGGCCUCAUCCCAGCGACCACCCUCUUCUGAUUCUCUUCGUGGUGGGCGGGGUCACAGUCUCGGAAGCCAAAAUGAUCAAAGACCUUGUGCCAUCCCUGAAGCCAGGAACCCAGGGACUGCCAGAGGCUCAAGAACCCCAGAAUUCGAAUCCCAGUUGCGUCGGUGGUGUAGAGGGUCGUCUGGCCAUCAGCAGUUUGUUUCCCUCAUCUGAUGAAGGAGGAGAGUGGAAACGAAGAUGGCUGAGGUCCCUCCCGAGGGGCAGAGGAUCAGUAGGAGAGGGUGGGCGAUCCGGCUGCAGCUCCCACCUCUCCCCCACGCCUCGUUUAACCGCAACUCUCAGUGGGGGCCGCCCAACUCCAGCCCCAGAGUGGAAAGAACCCUUCAAGCAUACAAGGAUCCUGCUGCUUCUCUCUCCAACCCGUCAUUUGUACAGAAGACUAAGGAGCCGAGGGGAAUAAGUAUCAGUCCCCCAGAAAUGAUUGCUCUUGGGACACUUGACGGGCUACUGGGAUCAGGAGGCGAACGAAGAGGAUGGCUUUGCAGCCGGAGGCCACUGCCAGGGGCAGAAGAUGGAGAGGGUGCUGUGGCUGGCCGGCUGGUGUCUUGGGAAGCAGAAUUGAGGCCAACGGCCCAAACUGGGGGAUAAGACGAGGAAACGACAGGGCGAUGGUGAGGACGGCGCAAGGAGAACAGAACAGGCAGGUCACAUCCACUGAAAAUGCUUCGGGAACCAGAGGACCAGCUAAAAUGAGAUGGGAAUAGGGAGGGUGUGGCUCAGGGAAGCAGAAGCAGAGGAAGGGGUGUGGUGUCUCAGGGAACCAAGGGGGUGAGUUUAUCUGGGAUUUGGAUGGGUGGCUGAUUCUGGAAUCUACGUGGGAAGGAUGUCGACAAGGAGGGAGAGUGACGGGGAGGGUCUCCUGGACCUUCCUGGGGGCUGGCCACCAUGCUGCACAGCCAGCGUCCAGUCUGUGCAGGUACAGACAGGCUGGCCCGUAAGCUCACAAGGGCAGGGACUGUAUUCUCUGUGCCUUGCACAUACUAGGUCUCAGUAAAUAUUUGCCAAAUAAAAUUAAUGAAUAGAGCAGAUUUUGUGCAGGAACAGGUCAGACUGUUUCCUGUUGUUCGCUGUCUCGUGUGGGUCUUAUCCUGGUACCGAGGGGACUCACGUGCCUUCCCUGACAAUGAUACUACCGAUUAGGCACAUACCAUGUCCCAGGCACUAUUCCAAGAGCUCCAUAUGUAAUGACUCAGUUAAUUGUUACCACAAACACACAAGACACGGCUAGUACUGUUGUCCCGCUAUUUACAGACAGACCCAGAAAAGCUCAGUGGUUUGUUCAAGAUGAUACAGGUAGGAAGUGGGAAAGGCAAUGUUUGAACCCAGACAGUCUGGCUCCAGAGCCCUACCACCCACAGCCUGCCGCCUGCCUCUCAGGAUGCUCUACCGUCCCGCCUCUCCAGGGCCAAGUCCCUCUAUCCUCAGCCUUCCUCUUGCUUUUUCAUCUUCUAUGCAACUUGCAGGUGGAGGGGCUUUAUGUUUGGAAAGGAAUGUGUGAAACGCAAGGGUGAAGAAAGCAGCAGGUUGGGG
Delphinapterus leucas (beluga whale) is the source of this 3577-nucleotide non-coding RNA. The record is from RefSeq and is a predicted model, not a curated record. NCBI's taxonomy places the organism in Eukaryota, Metazoa, Chordata, Mammalia, Artiodactyla, Monodontidae.